This 445-nucleotide ribosomal RNA is filed under the name uncultured bacterium. RNAcentral's name for it is "partial 16S ribosomal RNA". It matches the Rfam family "Bacterial small subunit ribosomal RNA", at positions 330 to 792 of the family's 1533-position model. The record is from RNAcentral.
UCCAGACUCCUACGGGAGGCAGCAGUGGGGAAUAUUGCACAAUGGGGGGAACCCUGAUGCAGCGACGCCGCGUGGGUGAAGGAGUACUUCGGUACGUAAAGCCCUAUCAGCAGGAAAGAAAAUGACGGUACCUGACUAAGAAGCCCCGGCUAACUACGUGCCAGCAGCCGCGGUAAUACGUAGGGGGCAAGCGUUAUCCGGAUUUACUGGGUGUAAAGGGAGCGUAGACGGCAGUGCAAGUCCGGAGUGAAAGCCCGGGGCUCAACCCUGGGACUGCUCUGGAAACUGUAAAGCUGGAGUACGGGAGGGGCAGGCGGAAUUCCUGGAGUAGCGGUGAAAUGCGUAGAUAUCAGGAGGAACACCGGUGGCGAAGGCGGCCUGCUGGACUGCAACUGACGUUGAGGCCCGAAAGCGUGGGGAGCAAACAGGAUUAGAUACCCCCGUA